GGAGAACAAAAUACUCAUGGAAGGAAAAACGGGGGCAAAGAUUAGAGCAGGGACUGAAGAAAAGAUCAUCCAGAGACUGCCCCACCUGGGGAUCCAUCCAUGAAGCCACCAAAUCCAGUUACUAUAGCUAAUGCCAAUAAAUGCCUGCUGACAGGAGCCAGAAAUGUGUAUCCCCUGAGAGUCUCUGCCAGAGCCCUAUUGAUACAGAUGAUGUUGCUUGCAGCUAACCAUUGGAUUGAACAAGGGGACAUCAAUGGAGGAGUUAGAGAAAAGAUUGAAGGAGCUGUAGGAGUUUGCACCUCCAUAGGAAGAACAACAGUAUUAAUUAAUGAGUUCUCACCAGAGCUCCCAGGGACUAAACUAUCAACCAAUGAGAACACAUGGAGGAACUCAUGACUCCAGUCACAUAUGUAGCUGAGGAGGUCAUUGUCCAUCAAUAGAAGGAAAAGCCCUUGGUCCUGUGAAGGCUUGUUUCCCCAAUAUAGGGGAAUUCCAGGGUGUUAAGUUGGGAGUGGGUGUGUGGGAGUGGGAACAUCCAAAAAGAAGAAGGGGGGUUGGGGAUUUAGCUCAGUGGUAGAGCGCUUGCCUAGAAAGCACAAGGCCCUGGGUUUAGUCCUCAGCUCUGAAGGAAAAAAAAAAGAAAGAAAAGAAAAAGGGGGAGGUAGAGGGAGUAUGAGAGAGGGGGCAAAGGGGAUAACAUUUGAAAUGUAAAUACAUAAAAUAUCCAAGAAAAAUAAAA
Molecule: long non-coding RNA, 739 nt
Filed under: Rattus norvegicus (Norway rat)
Lineage: Eukaryota; Metazoa; Chordata; Mammalia; Rodentia; Muridae
Description: long non-coding RNA NONRATT030635
Rfam family: tRNA (bases 557-619)
Source: RNAcentral